Trematomus bernacchii (emerald rockcod) is the source of this 763-nucleotide long non-coding RNA. RefSeq lists it as uncharacterized. The transcript has 6 exons. NCBI's taxonomy places the organism in Eukaryota, Metazoa, Chordata, Actinopteri, Perciformes, Nototheniidae. The record is from RefSeq and is a predicted model, not a curated record.
UGCACGGCCAGUCUACUCAGAAGGUUGACAUUUGAGUGGAACUUGAAGACUGCUUGGUCAACCAUUUCAUUUGAAUAUUCAUCGAUGUGGAGUCAUUUUUGUUUUUGUUCUUAGGCAACAUUUCAUUUGAUGGUUGGUGUUUUCCUCCAGCAGCCUGUUGAAAUUACAGUGCCCUCUCACUGUACAACAGCAUCAAGUUACAACAGCAAGACAAGACACCUGACCAUGGAGGUUACCAAGGGAAAUUGAGUCAUUCAGCAAUUUUGUCUUCGACAGCUAAUGCAGAAUUCCACUAGAUGGGUGUGCAAAACAUGUAGCUUUGAAUCUAACAAAAGGACAGGAUUGUUAAAGCACUACAGGCUAAAACAUCUACAUGUAGAAGAUAGACGAGAUGCCAUCAUCCGCUGCUUGAUGGAGUUCCUUGGAGAGUACAGAGGAACUCAUCAAAGACUACCAGGAUGUGAGCAAAGAAAUCGUCAGAGAGGACUAUGCUGAGCACGUCAUGAAAAUAGUUGUCCUCCGUGGAAGUGCAGCACACGAAGGCCCUGCCGAUGUGUCCAUCAUCAUCGAGGGAAGUGAGGUUCUUGAUGACUGCAGAUGUGUGUCAAAGGCUUGCCUUCUGCUCAUGGGCUUCAUAUAUGCAAUGAACUUAAGUUAUCCACCGAAGAUGAAAUACACUUUUGAGGUAUUUCAGAAGCUCUUUCUUGAGCUAAAUGUCCUGAAGAUGUCUCCAAAAGUCCAUGCAUUGUGCAACAAACUUGUA